Long non-coding RNA from Tyto alba (common barn owl), 1756 nucleotides. RefSeq lists it as uncharacterized. The record is from RefSeq and is a predicted model, not a curated record. The transcript is spliced from 2 exons. NCBI's taxonomy places the organism in Eukaryota, Metazoa, Chordata, Aves, Strigiformes, Tytonidae.
AAGGAAAUUUCUGGAACCUUCUAUUCUGCGGCGCUACACAGCGAGCGGAGGGCUGAGGACUGCGCAGAUGGUGCACGGGCAGAGCUCUUCGGUCCGGUUCGUCUUUCCCACCGACCAGCAGUGAAGAUGGCAGCUCUGCCUGGAAGUGCUGAGGACACAACCAGCUUUGAGCUCGGUCCUUCUGGACGAGGAAGUCUCCUGGUUAUGCAGUGGAGUGGUAACUUUGCUUUCUCAUACGGCAGGGAACGUUAUUCCGUAGCCUUUCAUCAUGUCGAGGCUUAAACAAGUUUAAGGAUAUGGUAGCAUAAGCAUUGGAUCUCUGUUACUCACUCGUUGACAUCUCAAGCGUCAGGUCCGGUUGUUUAGCAACAACCGCUGGGUUCACAACGGGCUCAGACGUUCCGCGGCCGCCGUCCCCAUUACUUCAGCAGCAGCCUGUCCUCCGACCGGCAGCCUGAGGGAGAGGGAGAGAGAGAAGGGCUGUAUUUACACAGGUACGCCCGCCCCGACCGAAUUUUGGCGGUUCGGUUCCGAAGGCCGCACGCGCUGCGGUUUUAUCCCCGCCGCCAUUCUUUUGCGCAGCACCGUAGAGGGGAGGAUGCCGUCUCCCACGGCAGCGCGGUGGUAGGAGCCGGGAGGGAAGAAGAAAACAGACAGUAGGUGCCACUCCCCACUUUUUUUUUCCUCUUUCCCAUCUCCACCUUUCUUGCCUCCCCUCCUCUUCUGCCGGAUUCCACAGGGAAUUUCAGACUCUGACUGCAGUCAUCACAACCCCUCCUGACUCACUGAGCCUUCGCUGGCUGUAGCUGGCUCCCUUGGAGCAUCCUUGCCUCCUGCAGCGCCAGUUCCGCAGAGCAGGGGAACAACAGGAAUAGCAGCAACGACGGUGGUCCCUGCAGCAAGACAGACAGGCAUAAACACACACACAUACGGGAACAGCACAGGCAGCCGCGGGGGUUAUUCUGUGCAGCCAGGAGCUGGACUGAGAAAUGAUGCUGGCUUGCAUGGAAGACGGGUGGGUUGAGUCUGUUUUACCGAGUGCUGUCUGCACGGACAACCCUGCCCAUUUUUCCCCAUCACCAUUGCGGGGCAGAGGGCCUCGUUAAUGUGUAAAGCUAGUGGUUCUUAAUGGCAUUUCUCAGUCCUUUGAAAGGAGGUGCAACUGGCAACCCCUAUACUUGCCCAGGCAUAUACGUACUUUUCGAGUUUCCAUGUUCAGCGGAGGGAUGCAUUUGUUUUUAUCCCUUUCGUUACUCUUUUUGCCACGGUGAUAGUUUAAUUGUGACUAGAUGCAGGGAGGGUAAGGAGACAGAGAUAAAAGAGGAGUUAUUUCAAUGUUAAACUUGGGCUGUAAAUCUCAUUACUCAGGAAUUGAGGUUACUGUCAGCAGGUAAAUCUGUGGGACUGGUAAGAAACAAGGCUAAGAAGGGCACACGGCAUAUUUCUGUAGGACAGGACGGCAGCGAUUUUGCGCAUAGGGCUGGUAUCGUUACUGUACGUUAGCUGUACAUGGCCGACUGUUCCAUGAUGGUUUCCUGCGUAUUGCCGCAAAAGGACUUGGGAAAGCUGUGAUUUCUUCCUCCCUCCGACACUUGUGUGUGUGACAUUGUGUAAGCUGAUUCAUUUUUCUGUAUUUUGGUUUCCUUCCUUUGUAAAGUGGGGGUUUACCGUAUCUCUCAGCCUUAGUGCGGCAUUAUGACGCAGUGUUUGUUAAUGCGUUGGGUCUGUUGGCAAAAUACAUGCAAUUUUCUUGGGA